GGACAAAGUGACAGGUGGUGCAUGGUUGUCGUCAGCUCGUGUCGUGAGAUGUUGGGUUAAGUCCCGCAACGAGCGCAACCCUUGAUUUUAGUUGCCAGCAUUUAGUUGGGCACUCUAAAGUGACUGCCGGUGCAAGCCGGAGGAAGGUGGGGAUGACGUCAAAUCAUCAUGCCCCUUAUGACCUGGGCUACACACGUGCUACAAUGGAUAGUACAAAGGGUCGCGAAGCCGCGAGGUGGAGCUAAUCCCAUAAAACUAUUCUCAGUUCGGAUUGUAGGCUGCAACUCGCCUACAUGAAGCCGGAAUCGCUAGUAAUCGUGGAUCAGCAUGCCACGGUGAAUACGUUCCCGGGCCUUGUACACACCGCCCGUCACACCACGAGAGUUUGUAACACCCGAAGUCGGUAGGGUAACCUUUAUGGAGCCAGCCGCCGAAGGUGGGACAGAUAAUUGGGGUGAAGUCGUAACAAGGUAGCCGUAUCGGAAGGUGCGGCUGGAUCACCUCCUUUCUAAGGAA
RNAcentral lists this ribosomal RNA (516 nucleotides) under Listeria monocytogenes. Its description in RNAcentral is "bacterial SSU rRNA". It matches the Rfam family "Bacterial small subunit ribosomal RNA", at positions 1024 to 1533 of the family's 1533-position model. Lineage: Bacteria; Bacillati; Bacillota; Bacilli; Caryophanales; Listeriaceae. The record is from RNAcentral.